GGCCCAGACUGUGGUUGAGCAGAUGAGCACGCUGGUGCCUCCUCUGCAUGAAGGGGACCCCUUGGUUGUCCUAACUUUUCUGUCUACAUAUAGAAGCUUUGUGACACCCCUUCAGGUAUUGGACCUGCUGUUUGGGAGGAAGUCCUAGAAAUUUUAGAGUACCCAAGAGAGAUGUGUCCAAAGUAGAGGCCCAUGAAGGAUAAUCCAGGAAAGCAUGUGACCAAGGAGAUGUCUUGAUAGAGAUGCCUGCAUUCAACACUUGCAGAUACAUUGAAAGCACCUAUUGUGUACAGGUACGCAUACUUCAGCCUUUAUUCUAAAGAGGAUGAACAAGUGAAGAACACCCUCUGUAGCUUCUUGGAAACAUGGAUGGACAAGAAACCUGAGGACUUUUGUGACCCAUCAGACCUGUUCACUUUGAAACUCCUGAGUCCUACUUGAGUGUGUACAUGGCCCAGUGUGAUCUUAAUGUCCGUGUCAAGAGGCUGCUGACACAGUUGGAGAAAGAACAUGCAAAGGAUUCUCAGGCCAAAGAUGAGGAAGACUCAGAUCUGGG
This is a non-coding RNA of Rattus norvegicus (Norway rat), 556 nucleotides long. Lineage: Eukaryota; Metazoa; Chordata; Mammalia; Rodentia; Muridae. The record is from RefSeq and is a predicted model, not a curated record.